RNAcentral lists this ribosomal RNA (206 nucleotides) under Escherichia marmotae. RNAcentral's name for it is "partial 16S ribosomal RNA". It matches the Rfam family "Bacterial small subunit ribosomal RNA", at positions 1 to 214 of the family's 1533-position model. The record is from RNAcentral. Lineage: Bacteria; Pseudomonadati; Pseudomonadota; Gammaproteobacteria; Enterobacterales; Enterobacteriaceae. RNAcentral also lists the same sequence under 1 other name.
AAAUUGAAGAGUUUGAUCAUGGCUCAGAUUGAACGCUGGCGGCAGGCCUAACACAUGCAAGUCGAACGGUAACAGGAAGCAGCUUGCUGUUUCGCUGACGAGUGGCGGACGGGUGAGUAAUGUCUGGGAAACUGCCCGAUGGAGGGGGAUAACUACUGGAAACGGUAGCUAAUACCGCAUAACGUCGCAAGACCAAAGAGGGGGAC